GUGAAUCAUCGAAUCUUUGAACGCAAAUGGCACUCUCCGGUAAUCCGGGAGUAUGCUUGUUUGAGGGUCAGCAAAAACAAAUCACGGAUUUUAUUCUGUGGAAUUGGGUGUUUCGGGGGAUUCCAACCUUCAAUCCGUUCGAUCGCCUAAAAAUGUUUCUUGGUUCGUUCGAUGUGAACUGAUCUAAGGAUCGCUGACGAUGAACCGUAACUGUGUUACGCAUUAUGAUCGUCCGUUAUAACAAUAAUGGAUGAUUCAUAUGCCAUUCCAUUAAUGACCUCAAAUCAAGUAAGAUUACCC
This 300-nucleotide unclassified non-coding RNA is filed under the name uncultured fungus. RNAcentral's name for it is "sequence contains 5.8S rRNA gene, ITS2". The stretch from base 1 to 70 matches the Rfam family "5.8S ribosomal RNA", at positions 84 to 154 of the family's 154-position model. Lineage: Eukaryota; Fungi. The record is from RNAcentral.